RNAcentral lists this transfer RNA (73 nucleotides) under Mustela putorius furo (domestic ferret). It matches the Rfam family "tRNA". Rfam says of the family: Transfer RNA (tRNA) molecules are approximately 80 nucleotides in length. Their secondary structure includes four short double-helical elements and three loops (D, anti-codon, and T loops). Further hydrogen bonds mediate the characteristic L-shaped molecular structure. tRNAs have two regions of fundamental functional importance: the anti-codon, which is responsible for specific mRNA codon recognition, and the 3' end, to which the tRNAs corresponding amino acid is attached (by aminoacyl-tRNA synthetases). tRNAs cope with the degeneracy of the genetic code in two manners: having more than one tRNA (with a specific anti-codon) for a particular amino acid; and 'wobble' base-pairing, i.e. permitting non-standard base-pairing at the 3rd anti-codon position. The record is from Rfam by way of RNAcentral. Lineage: Eukaryota; Metazoa; Chordata; Mammalia; Carnivora; Mustelidae.
ACUCGGCUGGCUCAGUCGGUGGAGCGUGCAACUCUUGAUCUCAGGGUUGUGGGUUCAAGCCCCACACUGGGUG